Long non-coding RNA from Pezoporus occidentalis (night parrot), 495 nucleotides. RefSeq lists it as uncharacterized. Lineage: Eukaryota; Metazoa; Chordata; Aves; Psittaciformes; Psittacidae. The transcript is spliced from 4 exons. The record is from RefSeq and is a predicted model, not a curated record.
CAGAGAGGUUUCAGUGGUAAACCACUUAGCAGCAGUUUUGUUUAUCUUUGUCAUGGUUUAACUGCAGCUGACAACUAAACACCAUACAGCCAUUUGCUCACUCCCCGGCCCUGGUGAGAUGGAGAGAAUCAGAAGAGGGAAAACUUGACACGCAAGAUACACAGCUCAUGUUUAAAUCACCUCUGCUUAAGAAACUGCAUCUUGCCAUGACUGCUGUGAGAAGAGUAUUAUAUUUUUAAGAGGGCAAAAAGACUUAUGGCAAAUGAUUUCCCUCCAUGUUGGAAAAAGGUGUAUGGAGGGUAUGAAUCAUAACAAAACCAUAGGUCUUCAUCCCGCUUUCCUCACCUGUUGGAGGGCUGAUGAUACAACCUUCUCCCUAUGCUUUGUUCUGUCACCAUUAGGCGUUGAAUAUUGGUGAUGAAAGUGUGCUCUGGUGGGAUACUGCUACCCAGCCAUCUCAUUUUGCAAUGAUAUAAUAAGAAUACAGUGUCCCAA